RNAcentral lists this ribosomal RNA (616 nucleotides) under Hohenbuehelia angustata. RNAcentral's name for it is "eukaryotic LSU rRNA". It matches the Rfam family "Eukaryotic large subunit ribosomal RNA", at positions 1 to 626 of the family's 3401-position model. The record is from RNAcentral. Lineage: Eukaryota; Fungi; Basidiomycota; Agaricomycetes; Agaricales; Pleurotaceae.
CAAAUCAGGUAGGAUUACCCGCUGAACUUAAGCAUAUCAAUAAGCGGAGGAAAAGAAACUAACAAGGAUUCCCCUAGUAACUGCGAGUGAAGCGGGAAAAGCUCAAAUUUGUAAUCUGGCGGUCUUGGGCCGUCCGAAUUGUAAACUAGAGAAGCGUUAUCCGCGCUGGACCGUGUACAAGUCCCCUGGAAUGGGGCGUCAUAGAGGGUGAGAAUCCCGUCUUUGACACGGACUACCAGGGCUUUGUGAUGCGCUCUCAAAGAGUCGAGUUGUUUGGGAAUGCAGCUCAAAAUGGGUGGUAAAUUCCAUCUAAAGCUAAAUAUUGGCGAGAGACCGAUAGCGAACAAGUACCGUGAGGGAAAGAUGAAAAGAACUUUGGAAAGAGAGUUAAACAGUACGUGAAAUUGCUGAAAGGGAAACGCUUGAAGUCAGUCGCGUUGGCUAGGGAUCAGCCUUACUCUGGUGGGGUGUAUUUCCUUGUCGACGGGUCAGCAUCAGUUUUGGUUGCUGGAUAAAGGCCAGGGGAAUGUGGCACCUUCGGGUGUGUUAUAGCCCUUGGUCAGAUACAGUGGCUGGGACUGAGGAACUCAGCACGCGCAAGCUGUGCUUAGGAUGC